UACAGAGGGGGCAAGCGUUGUUCGGAAUUACUGGGCGUAAAGGGCGCGUAGGCGGCCUUCUAAGUCGAACGUGAAAUCCCCGGGCUCAACCCGGGAACUGCGUCCGAUACUGGAAGGCUUGAAUCCGGGAGAGGGAUGUGGAAUUCCAGGUGUAGCGGUGAAAUGCGUAGAUAUCUGGAGGAACACCGGUGGCGAAGGCGACAUCCUGGACCGGUAUUGGCGCUGAGGCGCGAAAGCCAGGGGAGCAAACGGG
Molecule: ribosomal RNA, 253 nt
Filed under: uncultured bacterium
Lineage: Bacteria
Description: partial 16S ribosomal RNA
Rfam family: Bacterial small subunit ribosomal RNA
Source: RNAcentral